This 468-nucleotide ribosomal RNA is filed under the name uncultured bacterium. RNAcentral describes it as "partial 16S ribosomal RNA". It matches the Rfam family "Bacterial small subunit ribosomal RNA", at positions 28 to 507 of the family's 1533-position model. The record is from RNAcentral.
GACGAACGCUGGCGGCGUGCUUAACACAUGCAAGUCGAACGGAAAGGCCCUGCUUUUGUGGGGUGCUCGAGUGGCGAACGGGUGAGUAACACGUGAGUAACCUGCCCUUGACUUUGGGAUAACUUCAGGAAACUGGGGCUAAUACCGGAUAGGAGCUCCUGCUGCAUGGGGGGGGUUGGAAAGUUUCGGCGGUUGGGGAUGGACUCGCGGCUUAUCAGCUUGUUGGUGGGGUAGUGGCUUACCAAGUCUUUGACGGGUAGCCGGCCUGGGAGGGUUACCGGCCUCAUUGGUACUGCGAGACGCAGCAGACGCCUACGUGAGGCAGCAGUGGGGAGUAUUGCGCAAUGGGCGGGAGCCUGUGGCAGCAGCGCCGCGUGCGGGAUGACGGCCUUCUGGUUGUGAACCACUUUCGCCUGUGACGAAGCGUGAUUGACGGUAAUGGGUAAGGAAGCACCGGCUAACUACGUG